Molecule: ribosomal RNA, 253 nt
Filed under: uncultured bacterium
Lineage: Bacteria
Description: partial 16S ribosomal RNA
Rfam family: Bacterial small subunit ribosomal RNA
Source: RNAcentral
UACGUAGGUGGCAAGCGUUGUCCGGAUUUAUUGGGCGUAAAGGGAGCGCAGGCGGUUUCUUAAGUCUGAUGUGAAAGCCCACGGCUCAACCGUGGAAGGUCAUUGGAAACUGAGGAACUUGAGUACAGAAGAGGAAAGUGGAAUUCCAUGUGUAGCGGUGAAAUGCGUAGAUAUAUGGAGGAACACCAGUGGCGAAGGCGACUUUCUGGUCUGGUACUGACGCUGAGGCUCGAAAGCGUGGGGAGCGAACAGG